This 72-nucleotide transfer RNA is filed under the name Corynespora cassiicola. Its description in RNAcentral is "tRNA-Cys". It matches the Rfam family "tRNA". From Rfam's summary of the family: Transfer RNA (tRNA) molecules are approximately 80 nucleotides in length. Their secondary structure includes four short double-helical elements and three loops (D, anti-codon, and T loops). Lineage: Eukaryota; Fungi; Ascomycota; Dothideomycetes; Pleosporales; Corynesporascaceae. The record is from RNAcentral.
GGGAUAGGUUGCAUAGGGCUAUGCCUUUUGAUUGCAGAUCAUAAAGUUAAGGUUCGACUCCUUCCUAUCCCU